GCCGAAGUGGCGGAACUGGUAGACGCGCUAGGUUCAGGGUCUAGUGGGGGUAGCCCCGUGGGGGUUCGAGUCCCCCCUUCGGCACCA
This 87-nucleotide transfer RNA is filed under the name Deltaproteobacteria bacterium. RNAcentral's name for it is "tRNA-Leu". It matches the Rfam family "tRNA". From Rfam's summary of the family: Transfer RNA (tRNA) molecules are approximately 80 nucleotides in length. Their secondary structure includes four short double-helical elements and three loops (D, anti-codon, and T loops). Lineage: Bacteria; Pseudomonadati; Myxococcota; Myxococcia. The record is from RNAcentral.